AGGAGGAGAUCAUCGAGCUCUAUGUAGCUUAGCAGACUAAGAUCGUUGAAGGUGUUUGGGCUUGUUGUUAGUGAAUAUAUGUGUCGUGUCGCCGUCAGGAUGAUGUUUGUGAGGAAGUUCUAGAUGAGUAAGAUGGAAGGUUGGAAGAAAGGUCAUCCAAUCAAAGUGAAGAGUUACGUGCGAGCCAGGUCGUCAAAUGGUGAAGCCAAUGUUGGCAAAGUGG
RNAcentral lists this long non-coding RNA (223 nucleotides) under Brassica napus (rape). RNAcentral describes it as "long non-coding RNA (BNAP_LNC013258)". The record is from RNAcentral. Lineage: Eukaryota; Viridiplantae; Streptophyta; Magnoliopsida; Brassicales; Brassicaceae.